GAAUUUUAUAAAUAAUUGAAUUAAUUAUUAAUUUUUGAGUUUUUUAAUAAAUUAUAUUUUAUUGGGAGGAUUAUUAAAUUUUAAUAACUUUAUUUUAAAUUAAAUUUAAAAUUAUAUUAUAUAUAUAGAUUUAUGAGUGAUUUAAAUUAAUUUUAAAUAUAAAAGAAUUAAUUACCUUAGGGAUAACAGCGUAAAAUUUUUAGAGAGAUCAUAUUAAUAAAAAUAAUUGC
RNAcentral lists this ribosomal RNA (230 nucleotides) under Alfaria striolata. RNAcentral's name for it is "partial large subunit ribosomal RNA". Lineage: Eukaryota; Metazoa; Arthropoda; Insecta; Hymenoptera; Formicidae. The record is from RNAcentral.